RNAcentral lists this long non-coding RNA (4297 nucleotides) under Capsella rubella. RNAcentral describes it as "long non-coding RNA (CRUB_LNC000368)". The record is from RNAcentral. Lineage: Eukaryota; Viridiplantae; Streptophyta; Magnoliopsida; Brassicales; Brassicaceae.
CUUGUAUGAAGGACAUUGGAGCUGAAUCGCAGUGAAAAGCCUUCGUACGAGUCGAUCUUUAAGACGCUUCGACAGAGACUUUGCUUCUUGCCGAGAAUAUAACCAGAAUUUGUGACUUGGUAACCAAGAUGUUGAAUCAUCUUUGGGAACCAAUAACUUGAGUUUUCCAUGGCUUGGGCCAUCCCUUGAGUCAAGAAACCUUGUGCCUAGUAUAAUUGACACCUAGUGCACAUCCAAUCUUGAACUCCAACAACUUGACGCUAACACACAUGUCUUGAGUUGAUUCAUCACUUUCCACCAGCUUGCCUUUCUAUUAGGCGUCUCCACAAGAAUUUCAACCAUAGCAUUCACCCUCGGUAAGCCUCGCGGGUUCACCCUUGAUCUUCCGGAGCUUUGACUCGCUAGAAAGAACAUCCUUGUGGUCUCCAAAGCUUGAUGGCCAUUGGUUCUAACUUCAAGCAUUGUGUUGCGCCUUCAAGAACCAAUAAGGUUCAUAACCAAGAGUAUUUGUAACCAGAAUGAGANNNNNNNNNNNNNNNNNNNNNNNNNNNNNNNNNNNNNNNNNNNNNNNNNNNNNNNNNNNNNNNNNNNNNNNNNNNNNNNNNNNNNNNNNNNNNNNNNNNNGUGGGAUUUGCGAACAGUUCUAGCCCUGGGGCCCUACGAUUUCUUUGCUUAUAAAAGCCAAAGCAGCUCAGAUCUUUCAACCUGGCUCUGAUACCAUGUAAGAUUUCAAAGAGAAUGAGCUGCAAGAUCCAAUCUCCUUCAUAAACUCACAAGAAACUCACAAGAACACCAAAUCUGAGUUUGUGUGCUCUUGUUUAUAACAAUCAAGAACGAACUCAAUGAGAGCUAUUCUUGAGGUUAUAAACUAAGUAAUACACGCCCAUUUAAGCUGUAUACACUUGAGAAUAAGCAUUAGAGACAGCAGCACUCUCACACCAAAAACAGAACCCAAAACCCUUAUAGAAUCGAUUUAGAGAUUGAAAGAGAAUUGAAUGAGAGAAUGGGAUGAGACCAAGCAUUGCCAAAGCUUGGUCUCUCCAUGAGAGAAUAAAGAUCAGAACUUCCCCAUUUUUGAGUAUAAGACACGAUUUUAGUAUAGGGGAAGACUCCCCAAAGGAGAGCUUAACUUUAUUAAUGUGAAGCUUACAUAUUUAUACAAAAAUGAAUGGGAUAAGAGUAUCCCUUCUAAAACCUAGUGAGCAACGGUAACAUAUACAUUCACUUAUACACUUUUGAAUGUAUAUUGAUGACAAAUACUAAAGGAGAGAGUGACAUCUCUCAAGUGGCCCCUUAGAAGCAACAUGUGACUUCUCCCCACUUGUUUCUUCUUCUAAAUGCAACAUGUGACUUUGGGGAGAGAGGGGCUCGUCCAAGAUGAUAGUGACAGCUCCCAACGUCCCUUUUAAACUCACAUGUGACUCCUUGCAACUUGUAUUGCUUCCUCACACAUGUGGCUUCUCUUUUGGCGCCUAAACACAUUUGAAUCUAGGGACUUCUUCACUUCGUUCAUCGACCCUAGAUUUGCACAUUCUUUAUCAUCUUGUUGUUGACCCUAGAUUUGCACAUCUUCAUCUUCAAGAUUGACCCGAACUUUUCACAUUCUUCUUUGGUGAUUAAACCCCGGUUUUGCACAUCUUGGUGAUGACCCGAACUUUGCACAUCUUGAUAACUUCAUGAUGACCCGAACUUUGCACAUCUUGAUAACUUCAUGAAUGACCCGAACUUUGCACAUCUUGAUCACUUCAUGAAUGACCCGAACUUUGCACAUCUUGAUAACUUCAUGAAUGACCCGAACUUUGCACAUCUUGAUCACUUCAUGAAUGACCCGAACUUUGCACAAGCUUCGGUCUUGAUAACUUUGACCCGAACUUUGCACACCUUGAUCACGUGUGUGCCUAGAGACCGAUCGUUCUAGUGGAUAGAUUGAUCGAUCCCUUGUUGUGAACGAUCGGUCAUUUCCUUGUUGUUGUGAUCGAUCGAUCCCUUGAUGUUGUGAUCGAUCGUUCCUUCAUUGCUUGUGCUCAUUUAUUUCAAUACUCCCCCUCAACCUUGACCGGAAGGGAUGAAGGUUAAGCUUGGACGUAAAUGAGCUUGAUCAAGUAUCAAUCCUUGAACCACAUGAACUCGCCCUAGUCUUCUAGACUUCGGACUUGAGCUUUCCCAUUAGCUUCUUCCUCUCAAUACUCCCCCUCAAGCUUGGACGUUGGGGACCAAAGGCCAAGCUUGCAACACGCAAAUGACUACCUCAUUAAAAACCUUAGCAAAGAAAACCUCUUGGGAUAAAACUUUGCUAAGGGAAAAAGAGUAUAGUCUUCACGGUUGAACGAUUUAGCUAUAGCCAUGGUUUGAAUGUAGGGUCACUUGGGCUUCUUGCUUUGACUUCUUGUUGAGACUCUAACCCUCCGUGUGUGUACUCGCUUAAGGAACUCCUCCUUUCGGUCACCACCAUGGAUUGAUCUUUCUUUGUUUAGUCAAGCCACCAUUAGCCUUGCUUCUUCCCUUUCCAUACCAUAGCUUUCAUGAUCCAACCGGUUCUCUUCUUCUCAUCUAGCUUCUUUUGAUGGCUUUCUUUCUCUUUUACACCUUCAUUCAAAAGAUGUAAAGAAAUCUUAAGAAUAUGUGCCAUAAGAAUAACAUUAAGCUUAGAUGAGACUUGGGAGAACAAACUUAUAUUGAACUAGCUAGUCCAAUUUAAACACAAGAAUAUAAAUUAGACACUAAAACAUCCUAAAUCCAAUUUAAAUUCAGUUCAUAAAAACAGAUUUUAACAAAUUGACUAAUGUCAUAUAAAUAUUUUUAAAACUGAUAUUAAGCUUCUAAAACCUUAUAAAAUACUUAUAAAAAUAUAUUUCAACUUUUAAAUAAUUUAAAAACGUUUGAAAAAUACUUUUAAAAAUAUUUUCAACUUUAAAAUAAUUUAAAUUCGUUUUUAAAAACAUUUUCACCGUUUAAAAACACAAAACAGAAUUUAAGAAAUAUUUUUAAAAGAGAAUAUAAAUGUAAAUAAAUUCAAACUUGAUCAAUCUAAAUCAAAAAUAUGACUAACACUAAUCAUAUUUUGACAACUUAACAAUCCAAAUCACAAUCAACACCUAAAACCAUUUUAAACAAUGAAGACACAAUUAUGAUCAUCAUGCAAUUUCAAGUUCAAAUAUGAGCAAUUUAAUCAACAAAAUUUAAAGAGUAAGGUUUAGAAUUAGCCUUUUGUCUUCUUUGUUGUAAAUGGUUGGAUGAGACUUGGUUUGCAUCACCAUUUGAGUUUCUGCCCCCAUGGGUCUCCUCUUCAUGGUUGAUGACUUUUAGAACUCAAUCCACCUCUUCUACAUACAACUUUGGAUGAGCUUCAUGGUCAGAUUGGAGACUUCUUCUCCAGUCGCUUCUUCCUUCUUUCUAUCUUCUUUGUAGCUUCCCUUGAAGCUAAGGAGAGAUAGAACACUUCUUGACUUCCAUUUGGCUUCAUUGGAAGCUUUGUUCGUUGCCAUUUAAUGGCCAAUCGAUCCCUUAACCGACCGUCAUGGUCGAUUGCUUCUUCUUAUUCGCGUCAGAAUGAUAUGUUCUCACUUAAUGGUUCAUAACUUACGAACGCCUGCUCGUAUCCGGAUGAUAUUACUUCCACUGGAAAGCUUACUCAAUUUCCAAGAACUUGUAUGAAGGACAUUGGAGCUGAAUCGCAGUGAAAAGCCUUCGUACGAGUCGAUCUUUAAGACGCUUCGACAGAGACUUUGCUUCUUGCCGAGAAUAUAACCAGAAUUUGUGACUUGGUAACCAAGAUGUUGAAUCAUCUUUGGGAACCAAUAACUUGAGUUUUCCAUGGCUUGGGCCAUCCCUUGAGUCAAGAAACCUUGUGCCUAGUAUAAUUGACACCUAGUGCACAUCCAAUCUUGAAAUCCAACAACUUGACGCUAACACACAUGUCUUGAGUUGAUUCAUCACUUUCCAGCAGCUUGCCUUUCCAUUAGGCGUCUCCACAAGAACUUCAACNNNNNNNNNNNNNNNNNNNNNNNNNNNNNNNNNNNNNNNNNNNNNNNNNNNNNNNNNNNNNNNNNNNNNNNNNNNNNNNNNNNNNNNNNNNNNNNNNNNNCACCCUUGAUCUUCCGGAGCUUUGACUCGCUAGAAAGAACAUCCUUGUGGUCUCCAAAGCUUGAUGGCCAUUGGUUCUAACUUCAAGCAUUGUGUUGCGCCUUCAAGAACCAAUAAGGUUCAUAACCAAGAGUAUUUGUAACCAGAAUGAGAGUAUGAGUAACCAAGAUUUUGAGAAUAAGUAGCCAAGAGAAUAGAGAAACCAGAAUGAGNN